GGGGAUUUAGCUCAGCGGUAGAGCGCUUGCCUAGCGUGCGCAAGGCCCUGGGUUCGGUUCCCAGCUCCG
This is a non-coding RNA of Rattus norvegicus (Norway rat), 69 nucleotides long. The record is from Rfam. NCBI's taxonomy places the organism in Eukaryota, Metazoa, Chordata, Mammalia, Rodentia, Muridae.